AUAUUAUUUACAAUAAUAAUUAGAUUGUGCAAUUCGGUCUAGCUUGAAUUUUAAAUUUUAUAUUACUUUUAUAUAUUUAGUUUAUUUUUUAUUUAAUCAGAAAUAUCUUUUUUUUAUUGGUAAUUUUAUUGACCUUAUUAUUUUAUUAGUUAUAGCUUAUUUUACUGUGAAGGAUUUAUUUUUAUUUUAUUAAAAGCAUACUUUUUUUGUAUUACCUUUUGUAUCAGGGUUUAUCAAUUUUAUAUUAAUUAUUUAAUUUUCCCGAAAUUAAAAGAGAUAUAUUAUAAUGAUUUUUUAUGUUUCAUAAUAAUUUUUAAUUUUAAUAUAGGGGUUAUAUGCUAUUCAAUUUUAAAUAUCUGGUUUUCUAAUAUAUUAAUUUAAUUAAGAUUAACAUUUGUAGGUUGAUAUACAAAUUUAUUUUAUUCAAUUUUGUUAAUUAAGUUUAUAGGGGAUAAGCUCUAUUGAAUAUUUUAUAAUAAUAAUUUUUAAUUUAAGGGUUAUUAGGCUUGAUAACAGCCAUUAUUUAUUUCGUUUCAGUUAAUUCUUAUUUAUUUUUUAUUUAUUUUUUAUUUAAGAUUUUAUUAGAAUUUUGUGUUUAUUUAUUUAUUACAAGUAAUAAUGAUAUAAUUAGUAGUUUAGUAAUUCUGAAUUUAGGAAUUCGGCAAUUUUAAUUUCCGCCUGUUUAACAAAAACAUGUCCUAUAGUUUUAUUUAUUUUAGGUCGGGCCUGCCCAGUGAUUAUUUUUAAACGGCCGCAGUAUUUUGACUGUGCGAAGGUAGCAUAAUCAUUUGUCUUUUAAUUGAAGGCUAGUAUGAAAGGUUUGACGAGAAAUUAACUUUCUUAAUUCAGAUUUUAUGAAUUUGAUUUUUUAGUUAAAAAGCUUAAAUUAUUUUGCUAGACGAGAAGACC
Molecule: ribosomal RNA, 909 nt
Filed under: Lyctocoris variegatus
Lineage: Eukaryota; Metazoa; Arthropoda; Insecta; Hemiptera; Lyctocoridae
Description: partial 16S ribosomal RNA
Rfam family: Bacterial large subunit ribosomal RNA (bases 664-834)
Source: RNAcentral